GGCCACGAGGUGUUACACGUGGGAUUGCAAAUCCCAAGAAGCAGAUAGAUUCUGCCGGGGCUU
RNAcentral lists this transfer RNA (63 nucleotides) under Hylodes meridionalis (Rio Grande tree toad). Its description in RNAcentral is "tRNA-Cys". The record is from RNAcentral. Lineage: Eukaryota; Metazoa; Chordata; Amphibia; Anura; Hylodidae.